GGCGAACGCUGGCGGCGUGCUUAACACAUGCAAGUCGAGCGGUAAGGCCCUUUCGGGGGUACACGAGCGGCGAACGGGUGAGUAACACGUGGGUGACCUGCCCUCAGCUCUGGGAUAAGCCUGGGAAACUGGGUCUAAUACUGGAUAUGACUCCACGGUGCAUGUCGUGGGGUGGAAAGCCUUGUGCGGCUGAGGAUGGGCCCGCGGCCUAUCAGCUUGUUGGGGGGUGAUGGCCUACCAAGGCGACGACGGGUAGCCGGCCUGAGAGGGCGACCGGCCACACUGGGACUGAGACACGGCCCAGACUCCUACGGGAGGCAGCAGUGGGGAAUAUUGGACAAUGGGCGAAAGCCUGAUCCAGCAACGCCGCGUGAGGGAUGACGGCCU
Molecule: ribosomal RNA, 387 nt
Filed under: uncultured bacterium
Lineage: Bacteria
Description: bacterial SSU rRNA
Rfam family: Bacterial small subunit ribosomal RNA
Source: RNAcentral